GCCCUCGUAGUGUAAUCUGGAUAACAUAGUUCCCUGCGGAGGAGCCGAUCUGGGUUCAAAUCCCAGCGAGGGCA
RNAcentral lists this transfer RNA (74 nucleotides) under Candidatus Micrarchaeota archaeon RBG_16_36_9. RNAcentral's name for it is "tRNA-Arg". It matches the Rfam family "tRNA". Rfam says of the family: Transfer RNA (tRNA) molecules are approximately 80 nucleotides in length. Their secondary structure includes four short double-helical elements and three loops (D, anti-codon, and T loops). The record is from RNAcentral. Lineage: Archaea; Nanobdellati; Microcaldota.